UGGGGAAUUGUUCACAAUGGGCGCAAGCCUGAUGACGCAACGCCGCGUGGGGGAUGAAGGUCUUCGGAUCGUAAACCCCUGUCGAAUGGGACGAAAGACUCGCGAGUGAAUACUUCGCGAGAGUGACGGUACCGUUAAAGGAAGCCACGGCUAACUCUGUGCCAGCAGCCGCGGUAAUACAGAGGUGACAAGCGUUGUUCGGAAUUACUGGGCGUAAAGGGCGCGUAGGCGGCCCUCUAAGUCAGACGUGAAAUCCCCGGCUUAACCUGGGAACUGCGUCUGAUACUGGAGGGCUUGAGGAUGGGAGAGGGAUGUAGAAUUCCAGGUGUAGCGGUGAAAUGCGUAGAUAUCUGGAGGAAUACCGGUGGCGAAGGCGGCAUCCUGGACCAUUACUGACGCUGAGGCGCGAAAGCUAGGGGAGCAAACGGGAUUAGAUACCCAUGUAGUCCCUGAGCGGGCUGGCAAGGCGCAU
RNAcentral lists this ribosomal RNA (472 nucleotides) under uncultured bacterium. RNAcentral describes it as "bacterial SSU rRNA". It matches the Rfam family "Bacterial small subunit ribosomal RNA", at positions 355 to 825 of the family's 1533-position model. The record is from RNAcentral.